This 3407-nucleotide long non-coding RNA is filed under the name Gallus gallus (chicken). Lineage: Eukaryota; Metazoa; Chordata; Aves; Galliformes; Phasianidae. The record is from RNAcentral.
AUUUUGCUUUGUCAUCAUCUUGCUCUAUUAAAAAAAUUAGUCCAAACAGUAUAUGUAUGAGAAAGUAUAAUUUGUAAAGCAGAUAUUAAAUAUAAACAAUCACAAUAUGUAACCAGACUUAAUUUUCAAUACAUCAUAUUCUUACAAGCCAUAUAUGCGUAGCAAAUGGCAGCAUUUGGCUCUCUUCUCUGGUUGAACUAUACCAUGUAUGCUAACAUUUCUUGUAAAUCAAGAUGCGCUAUGAUUAAAUUAGUUGACUCAUUCUUGAUCCAAUAACUCAAACACUCUGAUACUGAGAAAUUUGGUUACUUGAUUCAUGCCCAAGCUGUAAAUCAAAGAUUCAACAAGCAUUAGAAAGAUAUUGUUAUUACUAUGCAGGAGUUUAAUAUUGAGAUUCAGUUCUGUAAAUAAAAAAAUAUAUUUGGGUGAGAUUAAUUUUUCAGACUUUGGAAUUCUACUAUCUUUGUUUUUUCCAUCUCUUUCUUUUUGAGCCUGUUAGAAAGGGAAUGUUGUCUCGUGAGAGAGCUGUAGAAUGUAAACAAACAUGCAUUCAGUCCCAUUACCUAAAACCUUGUAUGAGUUCAACAGAAGUCCAUUUGUUGUUCAUUAUCAAUUUAUUUUGUGAAAGUAUUCCCUAGUAUUUCCUUGUAAAUACUUGUUUACAGUUUUUCUUCAUUGCCGUCCUCAAUCCCAUUUCAUCUUUGCAUUAAUGUCCUUCUUUGAGCAAUUGAUGUGUAGGGAUAUUUCUUACCUUCUGUCCUUGAGCACGGGGAUUAGUUUUACAACUAGAUGUCCUUGAUCUUCUCCGGAAAUAGCUUUAGCUUCAUGUGAUAUACUGGGAUCCAGUGCAACUUUCCUGAAUUUCCCUAACUGGGAAACAGUCAAGUAUUUCCUGGCUAUAUAAUUCUUAUUCCAAAGUUUAAUAGGCAGUCUACAAUAACCUUCUGUGUUAUCUUGUGUUCUAUGGACUCCAAACUAGAUCUGAACAUGUUAUGGAUGAGCUGUAUUAACAAAGGAAAAGAAAAGGAGUGCUGUCUUCUGUAAAAGAAUCCUAAAUACAGUGAGUGCCUUUGCUUCUAUCUUUAUUAUAUUUGAACAUACUACAAGAAAAGAUUACGUGAACCAUUUAAACCAUUAAGUCUCUGGAGUCUAGGAAAAGUCAGGGGUUCUGAAUGCCAUUGGUUGCAUGCCCUCCACAAGUACAGGAGUCCUGAAGCUUUCUGCAGCUUGUGGGAAUGCAGUAGCUCCCCGUCAUCUAGACAGCAAAAUUUUUUACCAUGGCCUUAAAAAAAAUGAGAAGCUUGGAUUUUGUGAGUAAACGGAAGAUACUAGUCUGUCUGGGUUCUGUUUAAGUGUUUUAAGACAUUAAAGCAUGACAUUAAGACAUUUAAGACAUGAAGCAAAAGAUAUAUCUGAAGAACUGACAUUCUUGCAGUGUGUUAGCACAGAUUUGCCUGAAAGUACAGCAGUACUUUCCUCCAGUUAACUAGGGAAAAGAAUCUAGGAGAAAAAGAGAACCACGUUAUUAGCUUAUACCUGGGGAAGUGUUAAGCAGAGUAACAGGUUCUGCUCAGAGAUUCUGGCAUACAACAUAGAUUGAUAUGAAUGAUGAGACAUAAUUGCCAGUCAUCACUACUUGUGGUGAAAAAUCUGAGAAAGAAAUAACAUGGCUACUUUCAAGUUUGCUUGUGGAGUCAUUUUAGCAAAAUUAAUGGUUUCUUUAGUUUCUUGCAUGUGAGUGAGUAAAGAAGACUGAUGAAAUAUUCAGAAUCCUAGCACAGAGCAAAUAAUCUUACAUUUGAAAAUAACUGCUUUUUUUUGUCCUCUGUUUUUCAUUUAUAUAAUAUUGAUCUGCACUUAAUAUAUGUUUAGACAGUGUACUUUUGUGCAACAGGUAACAGGAAAACAAAAUUCAAGCUAUCUUUGAACAUACUAAAACAGUGGGGAAAGCAAACAAACAAACAAAAAAAAACCUGUCAUUAUGAGGCAACUAGGUACAGCUGGUUUUGUAAUUUAGAGAUGUAAAGUUCAUCUGUCUAGAACUUGUGUUUUGCACAAUCAUCCUACUCAAGAUCAUACUGCCAUUUGCUUGCUUUCCACCAAACCAGAGAGGAAUUUGCAGUUAUUUUUAAAGAGCAAUUGCUGUGAAAUUGUCAGUGUGAAGGAUGUGAGGAUGCUAUUCUUGUCAUCCUCUUCAGUGUUCUCCUCCCCACCACCUUAACAAAGAUAGUAGUCCAGCUGUGGACCACUCAUUAAAUUGUCUUGUAUCUGUCCUCUGUGCAAAUUUAACCUUUCAGUUUUUCAACUUAUUCUUGGACCCUUCUUUUAGUUAGGAAAUUGAUUUCAGACUGCAAUAAGUUGUUCCAGCAUAUAAUUUUUUAAAAAGCAAAAUUGAUCAAAUAUUCUCAAGAUGAUUGUAUAGAAUUACACAAAAUAUCCACAGCUGCUAACAUUUCAAUUUUGGGAUUCUCUCUACUAAGACUAUCACCGUAUCUGACAGAAGUUAUAAUCUGCUCUUGGAGAAUCUCAUAUUAGUUGCAUAAAGCCUGCAAGAAAGUGUUGGGCAGGUCUGAUUACUGCUGUGAGAGAUGAGUCAAACACAUAUCCAAUGGCUAGCUUAUUAUAGAACAGUGUGAAGGAAAUUACUAAGUUUUGUAAUCUAUCUGUUAUACAGUUAGGGUCAUGUUGUGUUUCUUAUUCAUCUAUUUAAUUUUUAGUUCUGAAACACAUCUAUAAUUUAAUCUUUUAUUUUUGAACUGUCACCCUGAUCAUUCUAAGAUGUACUUGGAUUGAAUUUCAUGGCUCUAUAUUAAAACAUGUACUGCAUAUGUUUAUUGAAAGAAAUACGAAAAUGUAUGAAAAUAUCUAAUUGUGUAUACUUUUUGGAUGGAAAAUUAAAGAUGUUAACCUCUUUUCACCGUUCAAUGGCGUGUGAAAGAGCAAGAGAGAUUCAAAAACUUCAUUAAUUGCUGCAGGAUGACGUUACAAGCCACCUGCACUUCAAAGAAUUCUCAAUGAAGCAGAUGGAUUGAUGAAUACGCCAUUAAAGAUUUAAAGAAUGUUUGUUUUAAAAAUAUACUGCUUGAAUCAAAGCAUACAAUUUACAAAAAUAUCGUUGCUCUUUUUUUUUUUUUUUUUUUUCUCCUGCAUCCUGCAUAGUUUUGGGAAUAUAACAUAUGAGAAGAUUAUAUGUUAUGGUUUAGGUGUAAAUUUAGGUCCUUUUUGAGUCCUUUUUGAGUGUUGCAACGUGUUCUAUUUCUUCUAGAAUAAACUAACUUUCAAAAAAUCAUUGUAUAUUUAGACAUUGGUAUAUCAGAAACUUGCCAUAGCAUUAGUUUCAACUGACUUUGAGUGUAAAUUCCAUUUCCAUCUUCUUUUCCUGAAACCAUUAUAGAGAGGAAAUCUCU